RNAcentral lists this ribosomal RNA (462 nucleotides) under uncultured bacterium. RNAcentral's name for it is "partial 16S ribosomal RNA". It matches the Rfam family "Bacterial small subunit ribosomal RNA", at positions 29 to 523 of the family's 1533-position model. The record is from RNAcentral.
AAUGAACGUUGGCGGCAUGGAUUAGGCAUGCAAGUCGGGGGAAUCCCAGCAAUGGGGGAACCGGCGUAAGGGGCAGUAAGGCAUGGGUACCUACCUUGGGGUUCGGGAUAGCCAUCAGAGAUGGUGGGUAAUACCGGAUGACGUCGUGAGACCAAAGAUUUAUCGCCCUUAGAGGGGCCCAUGUGAUAUUAGCUAGUUGGUGGGGUAACGGCCCACCAAGGCGAAGAUGUCUAGCGGGUGUGAGAGCACGACCCGCGCCACUCGCACUGAGACACUGGCGAGACACCUACGGGUGGCUGCAGUCGAGGAUAUUCGGCAAUGAGCGCAAGCUUGACCGAGCGAUGCCGCGUGGGCGAUGAAGGCCUUCGGGUUGUAAAGCUCUUUAGUGGGGGAGAAAAGCCGCAAGGUGUGAUCUAUCCCAAAAAUAAGCACGGGCUAAGUUCGUGCCAGCCGCCGCAGUAA